CAGCCGGAAUCCUAUCCGAAGUCGAGAAACAUUAACACCGGCAUCCAAAAUUCCAGGUGUAACGUAAAUGGCUCCGGUAAUCCCAGAUCCUCAGCCCUCCAGUGAGAGACAUCUUGACCUGAUCUGACUAUGCCCUGACACAUCUAUUCUGCUGAAACAAUGAAAAUUAAAUGUUUUUACGGUUCAUCAUAAAAACCUUUUAAUGUUA
Molecule: non-coding RNA, 208 nt
Organism: Pimephales promelas (fathead minnow)
Lineage: Eukaryota; Metazoa; Chordata; Actinopteri; Cypriniformes; Leuciscidae
Source: RefSeq, a predicted model, not a curated record